Molecule: ribosomal RNA, 479 nt
Filed under: uncultured bacterium
Lineage: Bacteria
Description: partial 16S ribosomal RNA
Rfam family: Bacterial small subunit ribosomal RNA
Source: RNAcentral
GAUGAACGCUAGCGGGAGGCCUAACACAUGCAAGCCGAGCGGUAUUGUUUCUUCGGAAAUGAGAGAGCGGCGUACGGGUGCGUAACACGUGUGCAACCUGCCUUUAUCUGGGGGAUAGCCUUUCGAAAGGAAGAUUAAAACUCCAUAAUAUAUUGAACGGCAUCGUUUAAUAUUGAAAGCUCCGGCGGAUAGAGAUGGGCACGCGCAAGAUUAGCUAGUUGGUGAGGUAACGGCUCACCAAGGCGAUGAUCUUUAGGGGGCCUGAGAGGGUGAUCCCCCACACUGGUACUGAGACACGGACCAGACUCCUACGGGAGGCAGCAGUGAGGAAUAUUGGUCAAUGGGUGCAAGCCUGAACCAGCCAUCCCGCGUGAAGGACGACUGCCCUAUGGGUUGUAAACUUCUUUUGUAUAGGGAUAAACCUACCCUCGUGAGGGUAGCUGAAGGUACUAUACGAAUAAGCACCGGCUAACUCCGUG